RNAcentral lists this ribosomal RNA (465 nucleotides) under Vreelandella stevensii. RNAcentral describes it as "partial 16S ribosomal RNA". It matches the Rfam family "Bacterial small subunit ribosomal RNA", at positions 338 to 795 of the family's 1533-position model. The record is from RNAcentral. Lineage: Bacteria; Pseudomonadati; Pseudomonadota; Gammaproteobacteria; Oceanospirillales; Halomonadaceae.
CCUACGGGGGGCAGCAGUGGGGAAUAUUGGACAAUGGGGGCAACCCUGAUCCAGCCAUGCCGCGUGUGUGAAGAAGGCCCUCGGGUUGUAAAGCACUUUCAGUGAGGAAGAACGCCUGGUGGUUAAUACCCAUCAGGAAAGACAUCACUCACAGAAGAAGCACAGGCUAACUCCGUGCCAGCAGCCGCGGUAAUACGGAGGGUGCGAGCGUUAAUCGGAAUUACUGGGCGUAAAGCGCGCGUAGGUGGCUUGAUAAGCCGGUUGUGAAAGCCCCGGGCUCAACCUGGGAACGGCAUCCGGAACUGUCAAGCUAGAGUGCAGGAGAGGAAGGUAGAAUUCCCGGUGUAGCGGUGAAAUGCGUAGAGGUCGGGAGGAAUACCAGUGGCGAAGGCGGCCUUCUGGACUGACACUGACACUGAGGUGCGAAAGCGUGGGUAGCAAACAGGAUUAGAUACCCUUGUAGUC